UACGGAGGGUGCGAGCGUUAUCCGGAAUCACUGGGCGUAAAGGGCGCGUAGGCGGUUUGUCAAGUCCGAUGUUAAAGCGUGAGGCUCAACCUCAUCACGGCGUUGGAUACUAGCAAGCUUGACGGUUGGAGAGGAAGGUAGAAUUACCAGUGUAGCGGUGGAAUGCGUAGAUACUGGUAGGAAUACCCAUUGCGAAGGCAGCCUUCUGGACAACACGUGACGCUGAGGCGCGAAAGUGUGGGGAGCAAACCGG
Molecule: ribosomal RNA, 253 nt
Filed under: uncultured bacterium
Lineage: Bacteria
Also listed under: 1 other name
Description: partial 16S ribosomal RNA
Rfam family: Bacterial small subunit ribosomal RNA
Source: RNAcentral